This 25-nucleotide non-coding RNA is filed under the name Mus musculus (house mouse). The record is from RNAcentral. Lineage: Eukaryota; Metazoa; Chordata; Mammalia; Rodentia; Muridae.
UGCCUUACUGCUUGGCCCUCCUCUU